This is a long non-coding RNA of Cyprinus carpio carpio, 1020 nucleotides long. The record is from Ensembl. NCBI's taxonomy places the organism in Eukaryota, Metazoa, Chordata, Actinopteri, Cypriniformes, Cyprinidae.
ACACAUGUUGGCCCCGAUUGCUUCUGUGGAGCGAAUGAAUGCAAUGAAACACAUGUGUUUGGGUCCCUUUGUUUUGCUUUUAUGGCAAGCCGUUUUAACAUUUAAUCCUUGUAACAUAGUAGGAUCUAUAUUUCAGCUACAUUAACUUUUUUAACUACUUGUAUCUUUUCCAUUAAGUACUUGUACUUAUUCAUUAGAUGCUAGUGCUUAUUAAAUAGACACUAGUAAUUCUUCAUUUAUUAGACACUAUUACUAAUUUAUUAGAUACUAGUACUUAUUCAUUAGAUACUAGUACUUAUUUGUGACCCUGGACCACAAAACCAGUUUUAAGUGUAAAUUUUUCAAAAUUGAGAUUUAUACAUCAUCUGAAAGCUGAAUAAUUAAUCUCUCCAUUGAUGUAUGGUUUGUUAGGAGGACAAUAUUUGUCUGAGAUACAACUAUUUGAAAAUCUGGAAUCUGAUGGAGCAAAAAAAUCUAAAUAUUGAGAAAAUCACCUUUAAAGUUGUUCAAACGAAGUUCUUAGCAAUGCAUAUUACAAACAAAAAUUAAGUUUCUAUAUAUUUACGGUAGGAAAUUUACAAAAUAUCUUCAUGAAACAUGAUCUUUACUUAAUAUCCUAAUGAUUUUUGGCAUAAAAUAAAAAUCAUUAAUUUUGACCCAUACAAUGUAUUUUUGGCUAUUGCUACAAAUAUACCCCAGCUACUGAAGACUGCUUUUGUGCUCCAGGGUCACAUAUAUUACAUUACAAGUACUUAUUGAUUAGCUACUAGUAUUUACUAGUUACUAGUAAGAUUAUUUGUUUUACUAGUAAUUUUUUAAUUGAACUCUACUGUGGGCAUUCGGACUAGUCAUAACAUAAGACGAGUAAAAAAACAGAAACGUAAAAAUUAACAAAUUUAAAAAGUACUAUAUCUAUUAAGUUCAGGGUAUCUCUGGUCUAAAAGGUUGCUAAUAAUUAAAAAAUAAGUACUAGUUCUAUUUAUUCUUAACAAGUAAAGUAUAAUUAAAAACUAUUCACUA